CGGAGGGUGCAAGCGUUAUCCGGAUUCACUGGGUUUAAAGGGAGCGCAGGCGGAUUAGUAAGUCAGUGGUGAAAGCCUUAAGCUUAACUUGGGAACUGCCAUUGAUACUAUUAGUCUUGAAUGUUGUUGAGGUUUGCGGAAUGGGUCAUGUAGCGGUGAAAUGCAUAGAUAUGACCCGGAACACCUAUUGCGAAGGCAGCAGGCUAAACAAAUAUUGACGCUGAGGCUCGAAAGCGUGGGGAUCAAACAGGAUUAGAUACCCUGGUAGUCCACGCCCUAAACUAUGAUUACUCGACAUACGCGAUACACUGUGUGUGUCUGAGCGAAAGCAUUAAGUAAUCCACCUGGGAAGUACGACCGCAAGGUUG
Molecule: ribosomal RNA, 368 nt
Filed under: uncultured organism
Description: bacterial SSU rRNA
Rfam family: Bacterial small subunit ribosomal RNA
Source: RNAcentral